GUGGGGAAUCUUGCGCAAUGGGCGAAAGCCUGACGCAGCCAUGCCGCGUGAAUGAUGAAGGUCUUAGGAUUGUAAAAUUCUUUCACCGGGGACGAUAAUGACGGUACCCGGAGAAGAAGCUCCGGCUAACUUCGUGCCAGCAGCCGCGGUAAUACGAAGGUGGCUAGCGUAGCUCGGAAUUACUGGGCGUACAGGGCGCGUAGGCGGGCAGCUUAGUCAGAGGUGAAAGCCCAGGGCUCAACCUUGGAAUUGCCUUUGAUACUGGCUGUCUUGAGUUUGGGAGAGGUGAGUGGAACUCCGAGUGUAGAGGUGAAAUUCGUAGAUAUUCGGAAGAACACCAGUGGCGAAGGCGACUCACUGGCCCAAUACUGACGCUGAGGCGCGAAAGCGUGGGGAGCAAACAGGAUUAGAUACCCCAGUAGUCC
RNAcentral lists this ribosomal RNA (425 nucleotides) under uncultured bacterium. Its description in RNAcentral is "partial 16S ribosomal RNA". It matches the Rfam family "Bacterial small subunit ribosomal RNA", at positions 354 to 796 of the family's 1533-position model. The record is from RNAcentral.